GAGCUACCCCUCCCUCCUCCCUUAUCUAACGAUAAGGGGUUUGGGUGGGGGAAAAUCACAAAAGUAGCCAUUUGUGAUAGAAAUGAAGGUCAGAAUCAUUCAAAACACAUCAAAAACCAUUGGAAAAACAUAAUUUCAGCCUAACCUAAAUCUAACUUAGAUUUUAUCGGAAAUUAAUCAUUUGUGGAAGAAAUGCUACGGAAGAAACGAGUCCUAGAAUUGUUUAAACUACUGAUUGCAAAACUUAAAAUCCCAAAAUUUGCAGGAUGACCAAAAUGAUGAUACCUGGUAAUACACCCCUUUGAAAACCUUAUCUAAUGUCUCCUAACUUUUCAAAAUGCUAAGACUCACUUUUCUGUUUAUGGAUCUCUCCUCAUCUGAGCACCGAAAACAACGCCAUCACCUACUAAACAGUGAAAACACGAAUAAGUUGCCAUGGGUCUUGGAGUAUUCAACUGUGUCACUAUUACUCCUUGGUGCAUUGUUGCUGGAAUUUGGCAGAUGUUAGCAGCUUUCAUUGUAAUCUCUGCCGAGGCCCCAUGCUGCUGUAUGUUUAUUGAGUUUGUUCAGAAAUACUCGAUUUGGGUAGAGGGAAGACCACAAUGGCAAAAAGCUGUCCUCUAUAUUGUCUUGUCUCUACCGGCCAUCAUUAUGUGUCCUGGGCUGUCAACUGUGUUUGGGUCUGGGCUCCUCUUCUUGUGUGGUGUCCUGUAUGGUAUGAUGGCUCUUGGCAAAAAGGGAAGUCGGGAGGAUAUGAUCGCUGCAGCUCAGCAAAACACUGGGCCGGUCAACUCUCAAAGUGCCAUCUUGGUGGACGACCCUGAGGCCUGGCGAUCCACUUGAACCAGCUAACAGUUUUAUAACAAGCACCAUCGAUCGUUUUGAUAACAACCACUUACAUAGGCUCCCGGGAAGACAUGAUAGCAGCUGCUCAGAAUUCAACACGACAAAACUCCAUGAAGAACUCUUUGGUGGAUGGAGCAUCUCCCUUAUCUGCUUAAACUACAGUAUCACACCCCCUUCCAGCUCGUCCAGGAGCAGUGAUUGUGUUGCAUUUGUUGUUGUUGUGGUUAGGAUGUUUGGGAGUUUGAAAUAUGAAUUUUUUUUUAUAAAUUAGACCAGUAUUUUGAAAAGGCUUGAUAAUAGUUUCAUACAAAUGUGAAUAAUGUCCCACAUUGCUACUAAACCUGAAUUGCAGUUAAUACCAGGAGAAGACCGUACUGCAUUACUAUAUACGGUAAUAAUAAUUUAAACCAUAUAAGGGAGAGUUAUAGACAUUAAUAACAACUUUUUUUUAUUACAGAUUUAAUGAUCUUGUUCUGUUUUUAGCAUUCUUUGUAUUAAUGAUUUUUCCAUUUGUUUAUAUAUGUUAAGAAUACAGUACAGUAUAUCAUUAGUAUUUGUCUUGUAAUCAUGCAUACACACUACCUGUACCAUGUAUUUGUCAGUUCUCGCUCUCCCUGUUUUCUUUGUUUAAUAUCCUUGUUAAUGACUUGGUAAAAGAUAUUUAUACCUGUAUUUGUAUCAGAGGGCACAUUACACCAACUCCUGUUUCAUAGGAUACUUGGAACAAUUGUUCCUUGCAGUUUACAAAAGUACAGUAUCACUCUGACAGCCAUUUUCAUAAGGUUAUGUAGUUUUCUGCUCUUUGGUUAUUUAAUUUUGUAGAUAAGAUUAUAAAAUUAAUGGGAUCACUGCUGAGAAUGCACAGACUAGGACAUGGUGAGAGUCAGUAUUAUCACUGGUACCUCUGCCAGGUUAAUGUGGAUAAGGAAUAAUGGAAAUAUAAUUUGACCACCAAGCUAACAAUUAAAGGAAGUCACUAGUCCUAGGGUCUUGGCAUACACUGACCCCAGUGUUUUAUGUAAACACCAUUUUAUAAAAUUAAUUUUAAGAAAUAACUUGAUGGAUAUGUUAUUCCCAGUACUAGGGAACAUACACAAACUAUAUUUUGUAAACUGAAGUCUAUUUCAUUAUUACUACCAAUCAUGUGAAAUGCUGUUAACUUUAAAGUUUGCAAUAAAAAAUGAUGGCCAGCUUCAGUAUUAAGAUAUAUAUUUUGAUUUUAUAUUCAGUGCGGUAAUUAAUGUUUUCUACCUUAAACAACUAUUUGUGCACAACAGAUUUCAUAGAAUCUAGAUGAACGAUUUUGUGAAUUAAACCUCUCAGGGUACAUAAUUUCAGCGGGAACGAAAUCCAAUUUGAGUUUUUUCAUUCAUGAAGAAAAUAAAUUGAAUGCUCCUGAUUUUUUAAUCAUAAUUUGACUCGGCGAGCAUGUGGUAUUAUGUAUUUCAAAUGUGUCAGAUCAUAUUACCUAAUAAAAUUUAAAUUUUCUUGAUAUAUUAGAUCAGCAUGAUAGGGGAUCUGAUCUCUCUAACACUAAAAAUAUAUCUUUAAAGAACUGAGUCAUUAUCACAAUACAGCAUAGUUAUAUGGUUCCAGCAAAUUGAAGUGAUUUAACAAAAUAUGAUGUGCAG
RNA transcript from Homarus americanus (American lobster), 2477 nucleotides. It is a transcript of the gene named calcium channel flower-like, with no coding region annotated. The transcript has 6 exons. The record is from RefSeq and is a predicted model, not a curated record. NCBI's taxonomy places the organism in Eukaryota, Metazoa, Arthropoda, Malacostraca, Decapoda, Nephropidae.